GAUGAAGAACGUAGCGAAAUGCGAUAAGUAAUGUGAAUUGCAGAAUUCAGUGAAUCAUCGAAUCUUUGAACGCACCUUGCGCCUUUUGGUAUUCCGAAAGGCACACCUGUUUGAGCGUCAUGAAUACCUCAAUCUCCAUCUUUUCUUCGGAUUGAUGGGUGACUUGGAUGUUGAGCCCUGCUGGUAUGCUAUAUCAGCUGGCUUUAAACUUAUUAGCCGGCUCUGUACUGGAUCGGUUUGACUCGACGUGAUAAUAUUAUCGUUGAGGAUGCAUGUCUCAUGCAGCCGGAAAGUAUCAAAGCAGCUUCUAGCUUGCCUUUAGUGCACUUUUACAUUUUAGACCACAGAUCAGGUGGGACUACCCGCUGAACUUAAGCAUAUCAAUAAGCGGAGGA
Molecule: unclassified non-coding RNA, 395 nt
Filed under: soil metagenome
Description: partial contains 5.8S ribosomal RNA, internal transcribed spacer 2, and large subunit ribosomal RNA
Rfam family: 5.8S ribosomal RNA (bases 1-120)
Source: RNAcentral